Molecule: ribosomal RNA, 310 nt
Filed under: uncultured bacterium
Lineage: Bacteria
Description: bacterial SSU rRNA
Rfam family: Bacterial small subunit ribosomal RNA
Source: RNAcentral
AUUGAACGCUGGCGGCAGGCUUAACACAUGCAAGUCGAGCGGUAACAGAGAUAGCUUGCUAUCUGCUGACGAGCGGCGGACGGGUGAGUAAUGCUUGGGAAUAUGCCUUUGAGUGGGGGACAACAGUUGGAAACGACUGCUAAUACCGCAUAACGUCUACGGACCAAAGGGGGGGAUGCUUCGGCACCUCUCGCUCAUUGAUUAGCCCAAGUGAGAUUAGCUAGUUGGUAAGGUAAUGGCUUACCAAGGCGACGAUCUCUAGCUGGUUUGAGAGGAUGAUCAGCCACACUGGGACUGAGACACGGCCCAG